GCCAGGCACAUGGCGCAUAUCUGUAGUCCCAGCUACUCAGGAGGCUAAUCUGGGAGGCUGAGGCGGGAGGCUCUCUUGAGCCCAAGAAUUCUGGGCUGUAGUACGCUAUGCUGAUCAAGUGCACACUAGGUUCAGCAUCAAUGUGGUGACAUCCCAGCAACGGGGCACCACCAGGUUGCCUAAGGAGGGGUGAACUGGCCCAGGUUGGAAACAGAGCAGAUCAAAACUCCCGUGCUGAUCACUAAUGGGAUCACGCCUGUGAAUAGCCACUGGGCAGCAUAGGGAGACCCCAUCUCU
Molecule: signal recognition particle RNA, 297 nt
Filed under: Propithecus coquereli (Coquerel's sifaka)
Lineage: Eukaryota; Metazoa; Chordata; Mammalia; Primates; Indriidae
Description: Metazoan signal recognition particle RNA (ENSPCOG00000005652.1)
Rfam family: Metazoan signal recognition particle RNA
About the family: The signal recognition particle (SRP) is a universally conserved ribonucleoprotein.
Source: RNAcentral